Molecule: non-coding RNA, 138 nt
Organism: Erinaceus europaeus (western European hedgehog)
Lineage: Eukaryota; Metazoa; Chordata; Mammalia; Eulipotyphla; Erinaceidae
Source: Rfam
AAGACUUCACAAUCUGACAGCCACAUUCAGGAUGCUGAUCUAUGCCUCCACCAAUUUUCUAGUAAUCUCACUGGGCCAGGCAGGGUUCAAUAUAUCUCUUUAUCAGCACUAAGGUUUCUGAUCACAUUUAGUUUUACC